GACGAACGCUGGCGGCGUGCUUAACACAUGCAAGUCGAGCGGUAAGGCCCUUUCGGGGGUACGACGAGCGGCGAACGGGUGAGUAACACGUGGGUGACCUGCCCUUAGCUCUGGGAUAAGCCUGGGAAACUGGGUCUAAUACCGGAUAUGACUCCAUGAUGCAUGUUGUGGGGUGGAAAGCCUUGUGCGGCUAGGGAUGGGCCCGCGGCCUAUCAGCUUGUUGGUGGGGUGANGGCCGUACCAAGGCGACGACGGGUAGCCGGCCUGAGAGGGCGACCGGCCACACUGGGACUGAGACACGGCCCAGACUCCUACGGGAGGCAGCAGUGGGGAAUCUUGCGCAACGGGCGAAAGCCUGACGCAGCGACGCCGCGUGAGGGAUGACGGCCUGGUUGUAACCGU
RNAcentral lists this ribosomal RNA (402 nucleotides) under uncultured bacterium. RNAcentral describes it as "bacterial SSU rRNA". It matches the Rfam family "Bacterial small subunit ribosomal RNA", at positions 28 to 432 of the family's 1533-position model. The record is from RNAcentral.